RNAcentral lists this ribosomal RNA (478 nucleotides) under uncultured bacterium. RNAcentral describes it as "partial 16S ribosomal RNA". It matches the Rfam family "Bacterial small subunit ribosomal RNA", at positions 28 to 523 of the family's 1533-position model. The record is from RNAcentral.
GACGAACGCUGGCGGCAUGCCUAACACAUGCAAGUCGAAUGGUAAGGCCCUUCGGGGUACACGAGUGGCGAACGGGUGAGUAACACGUGGGUGAUCUGCCCUGCACUUCGGGAUAAGCCUGGGAAACUGGGUCUAAUACCGGAUAGGACCCUGGGAUGCAUGUCCUGGGGUGGAAAGCUUUUGCGGUGUGGGAUAGGCCCGCGGCCUAUCAGCUUGUGGGUGGGGUGAUGGCCUACCAAGGCGACGACGGGUAGCCGGCCUGAGAGGGGGGCCGGGAACACUGGGACUGAGAUAAGGCCCAGAGUCCGACGGGAGGCAGCAGUGGGGAAAAUUGGACAAUGGGCGCAAGCCUGAUGCAGCGACGCCGCGUGAGGGAUGACGGCCUUCGGGUUGUAAACCUCUUUCAGUAGGGACGAAGCGAAAGUGACGGUACCUAAAGAAGAAGCACCGGCUAACUACGUGCCAGCCGCCGCCGUAA